ACCUCUGGUCCUCACACAGGCAAAGUGAGCCGUCUCUCCAGACCGAUGCAACACUGUUUUACAUCAAACUUACAAGAAUUGCUCUGCUGGGUAUAUAGCUCAGUGGAAGAACACUAGCCUGGCAUGUAUGAGGCCAUAGGUUCAGUCCCCAAUGGUGCAGAAACAAAACCAGCAACAACAAGCCCACAAACCAUCACCACCAGCAGCAGCAGCAACCACCACCACAAACUAGGCAAAGAUUCCAUUUCAAAAAGAAAGAUCUAAACAAACAGCGGACCUGCAGGUUUAAGGGAUUACUGUGCAUUUCAGGUGCCACCCUGGUGUUUUUGUUGGCCUGCAGUGCUGCUACAUUGUAUCCAAUGACAAACUCAGAAGAAACAAAAGCUUUCCCAGCCAUGAAUAGGCAGAAACUUCUGGGAAGCAAGACAAGUGAAGACGUAUGACUCGACAAACAACACAGACUUAAUUGCUUACAGCUUCCCGGAGACACAAUCUCUUCAGUUCCUCCAGCCUCUGGCGCAGCGUCUCCUCCAGAGCUUCCUGCCUGGAUUUCAAGGCAGCCAACAUGUCUUUCUUGGCCGACUGAGAGCUAUCUGAUUCCUGAGAACCUGUUGAUAAACAGCGGGGGUUACUAGGCGGCUC
Molecule: long non-coding RNA, 642 nt
Filed under: Mus pahari (shrew mouse)
Lineage: Eukaryota; Metazoa; Chordata; Mammalia; Rodentia; Muridae
Description: predicted gene 13179 (MGP_PahariEiJ_G0002713.1)
Source: RNAcentral